This is a non-coding RNA of Engraulis encrasicolus (European anchovy), 637 nucleotides long. The record is from the annotation of a RefSeq genome assembly. NCBI's taxonomy places the organism in Eukaryota, Metazoa, Chordata, Actinopteri, Clupeiformes, Engraulidae.
AUGGAUUUCAGCCACUUCCUGUCUGAACAAGCCCGUCCCCAAUCCGCCCCUGAGCUGGUGGUGCUGGCCCCCUCCCAGGCCCUCUCCUCUGGGGACAGGCCUACUGUGGUGUGCCUGGCUCAGGGCUUCUACCCUGAUGGUGCCACCCUGAGCUGGUCAGAGGAUGGCAAAGAAGUGGCGGCCACUGACUUCCAGACGGGCCCGUCUCAGCGCCAGUCUGAUGGCACCUUCUCCCUCAGCAGCGUCCUGACGGUGCAGCCGCAACGCUGGCACUCUGGCCGUUCCUACAGCUGCCAGCUGCAGCACUCUGCCCUCUCCAGGCCUCUGAGCAAGGCUGUGGACAACGCUCACUGCAGCUAGACAGGCUACAGUGGACAACGCUCACCGCAGCUAAAUGGGGACGGAGGCUUAACCCUUUACAGCCGGAUGAGGAAAGUAGACAAUGCCCCAGUCCUCACUUUUCUUACCUGCAUGCAUUUUUUUCAGGUUUUUCUCUUCUGAAAACAAAUGUUUCUUUCUUAUAUUUUCCUUUGCAUAUUGAUAAUGGGUUUUUUUGUUUUUUACUUUGUUUUGGUAUCACCAUCAGUUACAUUAUACAUUUCCAUUUUCUUCCCUUAAUGUUUUUCAAUAAAUCUUG